UACGUAGGGUGCAAGCGUUGUCCGGAAUUAUUGGGCGUAAAGAGCUCGUAGGCGGCUUGUCGCGUCGGCUGUGAAAACUCGGGGCUCAACCCCGGGCCUGCAGUCGAUACGGGCAGGCUAGAGUCCGGCAGGGGAGACUGGAAUUCCUGGUGUAGCGGUGAAAUGCGCAGAUAUCAGGAGGAACACCGGUGGCGAAGGCGGGUCUCUGGGCCGGUACUGACGCUGAGACGCGAAAGCGUGGGGAGCGAACAGG
Molecule: ribosomal RNA, 253 nt
Filed under: uncultured bacterium
Lineage: Bacteria
Description: partial 16S ribosomal RNA
Rfam family: Bacterial small subunit ribosomal RNA
Source: RNAcentral